This 470-nucleotide ribosomal RNA is filed under the name uncultured beta proteobacterium. Its description in RNAcentral is "bacterial SSU rRNA". It matches the Rfam family "Bacterial small subunit ribosomal RNA", at positions 198 to 650 of the family's 1533-position model. Lineage: Bacteria; Pseudomonadati; Pseudomonadota; Betaproteobacteria. The record is from RNAcentral.
GGAGGAAAGCAGGGGAUCGCAAGACCUUGCGCUCAUUGAGCGGCCGAUGCCUGAUUAGCUAGUUGGUGAGGUAAAGGCUUACCAAGGCGACGAUCAGUAGCUGGUCUGAGAGGACGACCAGCCACACUGGGACUGAGACACGGCCCAGACUCCUACGGGAGGCAGCAGUGGGGAAUUUUGGACAAUGGGGGAAACCCUGAUCCAGCCAUGCCGCGUGAGUGAAGAAGGCCUUCGGGUUGUAAAGCUCUUUCAGCCGGAACGAAACGGUCACGGCUAAUACCUGUGACUACUGACGGUACCGGAAGAAGAAGCACCGGCUAACUACGUGCCAGCAGCCGCGGUAAUACGUAGGGUGCGAGCGUUAAUCGGAAUUACUGGGCGUAAAGCGUGCGCAGGCGGUUUUGUAAGUCAGAAGGGAAAUCCCCGGGCUUAACCUGGGAACUGCGUUUCUUAAAGGGAGCUAGAAGGGC